RNAcentral lists this ribosomal RNA (156 nucleotides) under Dictyocaulus viviparus (bovine lungworm). RNAcentral describes it as "5.8S ribosomal RNA". It matches the Rfam family "5.8S ribosomal RNA". From Rfam's summary of the family: 5.8S ribosomal RNA (5.8S rRNA) is a component of the large subunit of the eukaryotic ribosome. It is transcribed by RNA polymerase I as part of the 45S precursor that also contains 18S and 28S rRNA. Lineage: Eukaryota; Metazoa; Nematoda; Chromadorea; Rhabditida; Metastrongylidae. The record is from Rfam by way of RNAcentral.
UAUCUUGAACGAUGAAUCGGUUGAUUCGCGUAUUGAUGAAAAACACAGCUAGCUGUGUUAUUUACCACGAAUUGCAGACGCUUAGAGUGGUAGUGGUGGGAUUUUGAACGCAUAGGGCCGUUGGGUUUUCCCUUCGGCACAUCUGGUUCAGGGUUG